GAUGAACGCUGGCGGCGUGCCUAAUACAUGCAAGUCGAGCGAACAGACGAGGAGCUUGCUCCUCUGACGUUAGCGGCGGACGGGUGAGUAACACGUGGAUAACCUACCUAUAAGACUGGGAUAACUUCGGGAAACCGGCGCUAAUACCGGAUAAUAUAUUGAACCGCAUGGUUCAAUAGUGAAAGACGGUUUUGCUGUCACUUAUAGAUGGAUCCGCGCCGCAUUAGCUAGUUGGUAAGGUAACGGCUUACCAAGGCGACGAUGCGUAGCCGACCUGAGAGGGUGAUCGGCCACACUGGAACUGAGACACGGUCCAGACUCCUACGGGAGGCAGAAGUAGGGAAUCUUCCGCAAUGGGCGAAAGCCUGACGGAGCAACGCCGCGUGAGUGAUGAAGGUCUUCGGAUCGUAAAACUCUGUUAUUAGGGAAGAACAAAUGUGUAAGUAACUAUGCACGUCUUGACGGUACCUAAUCAGAAAGCCACGGCUAACUACGUG
Molecule: ribosomal RNA, 497 nt
Filed under: uncultured bacterium
Lineage: Bacteria
Description: partial 16S ribosomal RNA
Rfam family: Bacterial small subunit ribosomal RNA
Source: RNAcentral